Non-coding RNA from Bactrocera oleae (olive fruit fly), 3130 nucleotides. The record is from RefSeq and is a predicted model, not a curated record. NCBI's taxonomy places the organism in Eukaryota, Metazoa, Arthropoda, Insecta, Diptera, Tephritidae.
AUUUAUGAUGGAAGUAAGUACAUUAAAAAAAAAAUUAGAAUCUGAAAGGCAAGCAUGUAAUAAAUAGCAGAAAAUUUCACGUAAAAACAACUAAAAUAAAAAAUUAAAUUUGUAUGCACAUAACAUACACACACACACGCACACCGUUUUGAGCGAACGAAGCUAGCAAGCAAUUAACUGAAAAAAAUACGGCAUGUAAAAAAUCCAAAUAACGAAACCUUUGCCUUUAGAGAUAGAUAAAUUGUAAACAAACAGCAGAAAUGGAGAAGCCAACCAAAACAAAUCUGACAGCUAAAGGUCUCCAUAUGUAUGUCUGUGCACUUACACGCGCACACUUGACGCACAUAGCUACACACAUACAAACUCGUACAUAUAAGGAAAGGUACACAGAGUUGCACCCUGCAGGGAAAUUGAGCGUUGCAGAACUUUCUUCGCGGUGAGGCAGCAAAUGAUGAUCGCGAAGUUGUGAAAAAUAGCGCAAGCGAACUAAAUUCAUAGCAGUUUAAUGUACGCGGCUGGCUCGCCUACGCAGCUGGCAAACGACAUGCGAAAAAAAUCGCAGAAACAAGACUUGAUGGCAGCAAAAUCACGCAGUUAACGAAAUAUUGCUUCUUAAAGUUCUCUUGAAGCGCUAGUCAUAGUAACUACAUUUAUGGAGGCAUGAACCUACUCGAACAGGUUUACAAGAGCAAAACCACAGACGUGCUGGUAUAAGAAAGUUAACAUAACCUACAAUAUAAUUCCAUGCUCAAUAAAUCAUUGAAAUUUCGUUGGCUUGAAACAGUUGCAAAUAUGUAUAUAAGACUUAAAGAAACUUUACAUUAUUUCUAUCGAGAUAGUCAAGAAAAUAAUUUCAGCGCUCAUUUGAAGAGCCCAAAACCUGUGCACACAAGUUCAAGCAAGCUAAACUGCAAACGGUUGGAAGCUGGCACGUUUUCACUGCAGGGUUUCUAUUAUUGUGAUUUGUAUGCUGAAACCUCUUACCGUAAUGCGGGCAUCAUGAAGAAACCACAACCUAAAAUGACAACAAAAUGCACAAGCACACAAACACCGAACAGCGGUGUACAAAAAAAAAAAACAAAAAAACCAAGAAAGCAGUGGGAAAAGCAAGCAAAAACAACCGAUAUUGUGUCACAACUGACAUACAUACAUACUACGUGCUUACAUACAUACAUAUGUAUGUAUAUGGAUAAGCGUGCCCAUGAGGCAAAGCCAAAGGCAAAGCCAAAAAGCGCACCAACCAAACACCACAACUCAACGAUCCACAGCGAUCGUCGUGCCUCCGCUUCAGAGGCCCCUCACCCAAAGCGCGCCACAAAGAACGACAACAAGCAAGAAAGAAACCAAAAAAACACACUCAAGACACGCAGAAAGCGCAGCAAACGGAUGGCAGUAGAUCGUCACAGCUUUGGGGAUCGCACGGGUAAUCAACACACACACACACACACAUGCAGCAUGAAGUCAUACAAAAGUAGUUUUGCUGCUGUUGUUGCGGCAGACGAAGGGCUCGAGGGUAUAGCCGUGGCAGGGCCAAGCAAUUUUGUACGAAAAAUCAAAACAAAUAGCCAGAAAAUGAGAGAAACGACGAUUAAUAAAAGCAAAUAAAAAAGGUAAAGUGGCACAAAUCAACCAAAAAACUACAGCAAAAACAACAAGAACACAAACAAAAAAAAGAAUAGAGAAAAACACACGCACUAACAACACAAGUAGCAAUCAAAGAACCACAGCAGGGCUGAGGCAAAGAAUUAAAAUGUACAUAGUAUGUAUAAUAACAACAAUAAAAACAACUAUAAUGUAUAGUAGAAGAACGUGAGGAAAAAAUUUUAAGAGCUGCACAAAAAUAAAAAUGGAAAAAAUAAAUAAAUCAAAAGAUCAAGUAAGCAAAAAACACAAAAAAAAACAAAAAACAAAUAGGUUGAUUUGAUGUGUUUGCUUGUACAACGGCUACUUGCAUGUAUGUUUGCAUGUGUGUGUGUGUGUGCGUGUGUUUGUUUCAGUUGGAGUACAAAGAAAGCGGGUUUUGUGUGUCCGCCGCGGCGCAAGUGACUUCGUAUCGCGGCAAGUAGGCGGGUAACACCGGUAGCUGGAGCACAAUACGACAUUAAAAACAACAACAACAACACCAACAACAGCACUUCGAAUGCGGUACACAGAAAUCAACCUUGAACUAUUGUACAACAUGAAAAACCGCACAACAACUUCAUAGUAAUGCCAAUAAUAUAACAAAAACCAACCGCAAUGAACGCAGAAACAGUAGCAGCAACAACAAUUAGCACAUAGUGCCUAGCUGCAAAAAUAAAAACAGUCAAAGCUAACAACAACAACAACAAUAACAAUGAGAAGCCACUGGCAAAGCCAACAUGUCUAGAAUAUUACAACAUGUAAUGCAUUAUUUAUAACAUAAAAUUAAACGCUAAUUAAAGAAGAACAUGAAACACCAAGCCAAGCAAGAGCCUGAAUGCAGGCGCACACGUACACCGUUGAACCAACACACACACAUAACUAUGUUAGUGUGCAUAUGUGCAUAUGUGCAUGUGAAUGCAUGCAUAUUCAAUGUGCGAUUAUAGGAUAUGCGCUCACCUGAAAACCCGCAUGUCUAAAUGACCGACAGACGCAAUCUCGACACACACACACACACAUGCAUAUGCAUGUAUAGUGAAUUGCAUGCACUUGUCUGUUUAUUGGUGAAAACAAACAGUACCUCUAUGCUUGGCACUUAAUAAUAUGCAUUUAUACUCGCAGUCACACACACACACAACACGCUAGCUUGCUUACCCAUUCGCCUGCUUUGGCAACGUUGGCAAAAUAAAAACAUUGAGAAGAAAAAGAAAUAAAAUCACACACAUCAGAAUUGGCAAGUCAGAACGAUUAAUGUUAUGUUAUGCAGCACAAAUUCGCUUAAACCAACUACAAGAUGUUAGUAGAGAAGUUAAACUGACUCUUAGAUACUUAUAUAAAGAAGUAAACGCGGCAGCGACACUUAAGAUACUUGAAAGAAGUCAACCGGUGGCUUCGAGCUCUUAGAAAACAGAGUCAACAUACAUACAUGUGCCUUGAAAUACGCUGAGUUGUAUAUUUGCACCAGAAGAAAGUAGUCAAAGCUGACUAAAUAAAUUGUUACUAUCUAAAA